UACGGGGGGGGCAAGCGUUGUUCGGAAUUACUGGGCGUAAAGGGCUCGUAGGCGGCCAACUAAGUCAGACGUGAAAUCCCUCGGCUUAACCGGGGAACUGCAUCUGAUACUGGAUGGCUUGAGAUUGGGAGAGGGAUGCGGAAUUCCAGGUGUAGCGGUGAAAUGCGUAGAUAUCUGGAGGAACACCGGUGGCGAAGGCGGUUCUCUGGGCCUGACCUGACGCUGAGGAGCGAAAGCGUGGGGAGCGAACAGG
Molecule: ribosomal RNA, 253 nt
Filed under: uncultured bacterium
Lineage: Bacteria
Description: partial 16S ribosomal RNA
Rfam family: Bacterial small subunit ribosomal RNA
Source: RNAcentral